GGGAAUUUAGCUCAGUGGCAUAGAGCACCUGCCUUGCAAGCGCAUGGUCAAGGGUUCGAUCCUCAGUACCCA
This 72-nucleotide transfer RNA is filed under the name Cavia porcellus (domestic guinea pig). It matches the Rfam family "tRNA". From Rfam's summary of the family: Transfer RNA (tRNA) molecules are approximately 80 nucleotides in length. Their secondary structure includes four short double-helical elements and three loops (D, anti-codon, and T loops). Lineage: Eukaryota; Metazoa; Chordata; Mammalia; Rodentia; Caviidae. The record is from Rfam by way of RNAcentral.